This 125-nucleotide microRNA precursor is filed under the name Daucus carota subsp. sativus. RNAcentral's name for it is "sRNA DCAR_mi00223". The record is from RNAcentral. Lineage: Eukaryota; Viridiplantae; Streptophyta; Magnoliopsida; Apiales; Apiaceae.
UAACACAAUUAUUAACGGCAUCUGCAAGAGAGGGAAUCCUUCUGUGGCUGUUACAUUGUUUAAGUAUAUGAAGAACAGAGGUUGCAAGCCUGAUACUGUGACUUACAACACACUUAUUGACUGUU